This 264-nucleotide ribosomal RNA is filed under the name uncultured bacterium. Its description in RNAcentral is "partial 16S ribosomal RNA". It matches the Rfam family "Bacterial small subunit ribosomal RNA", at positions 89 to 354 of the family's 1533-position model. The record is from RNAcentral.
UGGCGACCGGCGCACGGGUGCGUAAUGCGUAUGCAACCUACCUGUAACAGGGGGAUAACACUGAGAAAUCGGUACUAAUACCGCAUAACACUAUGAGAGGCAUCUCUUGUGGUUGAAAGUUUCGGCGGUUACAGAUGGGCAUGCGUUGUAUUAGCUGGUUGGUAAGGUAACGGCUUACCAAGGCGACGAUACAUAGGGGGACUGAGAGGUUAACCCCCCACAUUGGUACUGAGACACGGACCAAACUCCUACGGAAGGCAGCAG